GACGGGGUGGCAGAAAGUAAUGCGACGAAUUGUAAAUUCGGUUGUGGGGGUUUGAGUCCCCCCCCUGUUA
RNAcentral lists this transfer RNA (70 nucleotides) under Archaster typicus. RNAcentral's name for it is "tRNA-Tyr". It matches the Rfam family "tRNA". Rfam says of the family: Transfer RNA (tRNA) molecules are approximately 80 nucleotides in length. Their secondary structure includes four short double-helical elements and three loops (D, anti-codon, and T loops). The record is from RNAcentral. Lineage: Eukaryota; Metazoa; Echinodermata; Asteroidea; Valvatida; Archasteridae.